UCUGCUCCCCCACUCGUCUCCCCCCCACGUCUCAUACCCUUCUCCACAGGCGGCGGCGCGACGGGAUUGACGCCCUCCUCAUCCUCUUCUUUAUCCCACUUCCAGCGGCGGAGUCAGCAACGACGGAGCCGGCCGGGGGCACGCGGGGCGCGGAUGAGCCGGAGCGCGGCGGCGUUCGAGAGAGGAGCAGCUGGCCGCGUGGAGGUCGAGCCCGGCGGCGGCGGGGACUGGAGGCGGCGUUCGGCACCGAGGACGGCUGUCGCCAAGCCACCCUGGGGCUGACGACCGAACGUGCGGGGACGGAGCGGGCAGACUCUUUCGUGGGCAGCGGCGACCGCUACUAGGUCGGUCAGGCGGCGAGCCUCAUGGGAGGGGUUGUGUUGAUUUUAGGCAGCGAUGGAGGCUCGCCAGACGGCCGGCAUGCCUAGGAGAUGCGGGUCAGGCGACAUCACGGGGCUGAGGGUUUGUGGCCGGUGGUGUGAUGAAGGCCAAGAGGAGGAGCUGCAACAAUGUGAGAUAUGGAUCAAACAUGCAUAUACGGGAGAAAGAAGGUGCCCACGGGACUCGCUGCAAUGUCAAGCCAAAUGGAUUUGGGGCAUUCUUCUCUCCCUGCAUGGAAGGUAAAAUCAUUGGAAAUUAUCCUUUGGCGUUUGGCACAGAUUGCCUGGCUAUUGGGCAUCAUCUGCAGUGAUACCUCAUUCAGAUAGCCACUUAUCAUGAGCUUCUGUUGCACAAAGAUCUGCACAUGGAUUUUUCCUGUUCUUCUUCAGUCUCUAGGCUCUGGACUGUCAAAACGUAUCUUGGAGAUUAUCAGCUUAAGGAAUUUAUUAACCUCAGUCCUCAUUAAAUUGCGACUUGGAUAACCCAGUCAAAAGGUUCACUUCCAAUCACUCUCUUCAAUUCUUAUCCUUUUCCUUCCGAUGAUUGAAGAAGUCAUUUUCUUAGCUUUUCAAUCUCAUGCUCCUUAUAGAUGGAUGAUAUAUAUAUCAGGGAGUAAGGUGGUUAAUAUAUUUGAGGGUUGCAGCAGGCACAAAACAAUUUGGUGGUUAGCUUCCAUAUUUUUCCCCAAAUAAUCAAUUUAACAUCUUUCAUCUGAUUAUACUAUCUUUUUUGCUUUCUUGGUGUGUGUUUUGUUAGAAGUAAUAACUUGCUUAUAUACUUGGACUAACUUUGGACAUGAUUAUACUAUCUCAUAACUUGCUGACUGUAAAGCUUUCUCUGUGAAUUAGUUACGUAUUUGACUGGCCUAACAAUUCUUGGAUAUUCUUUGGACAUGGGAAGGAGCAUAUUAAUUUGGCCGAUGAGCAUUUACAGAAGUUGAUAUACAGUGGCCAGCUUGAUCAGAAGGAACUGGACAGCAUGCAAAAAAAUCAUUCCUAUUGUCAGAGCUUGCACGAAAGCGAGGCCACAAAUGCAGUUCUUCUAUAAGACUUAUAUGAGAUAUGUCAAUUGCAGAACUGUACGUAAGAUUUAGUUUGAAUACUAAGAGAUGUCUGGAACGGUUCUGAUCCUCUAGAGUAUAAUAUUGCUGGUAUUCAGAUACGUUCUUGCAUAUCCGAGUUCUUAAACUUACGCCUAUGUUGGGUCAAGGAGAAGCAGAUAGCGGUGAAUAUAUGAAUGAUAUUUGUGCCCAGGACAAUGGUGUGCUACUUGAUCAGUUUAUGUACUCCACUCGGAAUUAAAGUGCAGUGGCGCCGGCGGACUCCUCCGCGACUUUGACCUGGAUUUGGGCAAAGAGAAUAGCCACAGAAGGUGAUUUGGAGAAGGGAUCUCACUAUUACUCACUAAACUGUUACGUGACACUGAAAAAUGGUACACUUCAUAAGUUACGUUUCAUAUCCACCUACUGAAGCAUUUCGUGGUGAUGGGAUUAUGUGCUUUGCCAUCAAUGAAUGCUGAUGAACCUCCACCGUGUAUUCUUGAAGUUAAGUGUCACCUUCAGCAAUUCUGAUUGGAAAAUGCAUCACUUUUCUUAUAUUUAUUCGCAGUUUAUAUAUCCUGCAAGUGUUCGUCCCGGUGGCCAUGUAUUAGCUAAAUGACUAGCCACUCAUGUUUAUACAUAGAAUGCCUUUUUUCCUACCCCUGAUUGGUGCAUGACUUCUUGUUCUGAUAGAACAGGGUCACCUAUCAGUCUAUCACACAUAAUCACCACCCACCGCCACACAACAUGUGGAUGAGAGAGGCGGUGGGAUGGAGAUGCAGGGGAGAAGAAGGAGGCCGACGACAUGCAGGAAGAGUAGGCUGGCCUUGGCUUAUUGAAUUUGAUCCAAAUAGAAAAGCUCCAGGCUUAGGAACAUUUUGAGAGAAUUGAGUUGCUGAAUAAGAAGGAUAAACUCGCCGCGCCUUGAGAAGCCGUCCACAACCGGCUCCUGGCGGAGCUCGCUCGCGCCGGAGCCGGAGGUCGCCUGCCCGGUCUCUGGUAGAGCUCGCCCGCGCCGGCCCCUGGCAAAGGGAGCCCGCGCCACCGCGGCGUCCCUGGCGGCGGUGCAUCUAGGGGAAAGGCGCUCGAGCGCCGGCGGCGGCAGGGAGCAGCGACGUCGGCGGCUAGAGGCGGCAGGGAUCAGCGAGUACGACGGCUGGACGCAGCAGCCGCGGUGACAGAGCCGCGCGUGGCGGCGCAUCCGGCGGAACUGGUCGGAGUUGGAGCAGACAACGCAGGAAGGUCGGGGAGGGACCAGGAGAAGGCACGCGGGGCUGGGCUGGCCUGGUUCGUGGCCGACACCAGCCACAACUAGGGUUUUGUCGUUGUCCUUGGCAGGCGGUGGUCGACGGCGAUGGGAGACACCUCAGGUCUGGGGGAGCCAUGGCUAGCCCCAACCCGUUUCUCUCUUAUUAACCUGGAACUGCUACUUUGGUCCAUCUCUUCCUCCUGCUCAACAGCUGAAGCACACACAGCCAGUGCAGAACCGUUCUGCCAGAACGCCUGCCUAUUUGCCUCUCAAGAAGACUUGUUUUCUCUAUGCCUACAAGGUGGUUGAUGAAAUUCCAAGAAGGAUCUGGGGAUGGAUUGAUCUAGGCAAGCCAUGUGAUUUACAUCCAGCUUCAAAUCAUCAGCAACUUCCCAGGUUACGUUGGAAGAAUAAAACACCAGAAUGUGCCCGCGUUGGCGGCAAAGAACAUGGGGGUUGUGGUCUGCGGUUGCAGUUCAGCCUGCUUAGCAAGGCAGCAAUGGAUCCUUCUUUGCCUAGAAAUGGCCAAUUCUGUAUGUAACGUGUUAAUUUCUUUUGCUUGAUACUUUAAUAACCCCUAAUUCUUGGUACGGAGUAUUCUUUUCCCUUGUAUGCGACUUUCUGACCAUUAUUUUCCGGCUUGACAUAUUUUUCACUUCUAGAGCAAUACAUUGCUAGCAUCUUUAGAUGCUAUAAUAUGUAUGAGUAGAUGUGGUCUUUUAAGUUGUUAAAUCUCUCCAUUAUAACAUGAUAUCUUCUUUUCUUUACAGGUCAAGACAUCAUUUCCAAAUAUAGAGUAUUAUGUCCAUCCAAAUUCGUGCAUCUAGCCAAGCAAUUUUUGAUGUUGCUUUGAGCUAGCUGAAUGGUUUAGAGAUGGUUCUUCAUUUCGGCUUCUCUUCGUUUCUGGCUUGUACUGGCUGCUUCUUUCAGAGCUUAUAUGUGAUUUUCCUUCUUUUCAAAUUUAUCUCUAAACCUACUAAUUUGUUUGAUGGUAGAUGCGAGCGCCAUAUAGACACUCCAGUGUCCUCGUCAUUCUAAAUGCUUUGGGGGUGUUACCGUCUGUUUAAUCCAUUUAUUGUUCGCAUGAAGGCUUGCACAACUCUUUGUGGUCAUUGCCUUCGAAGACGGCACGAGAGCAGGCCGUCCACCACUGACAACUGGAGGACAGCCUGCUCUCGUGUGGUUUCUUAUUUCAUGUUUUACUUAUUUAGUACUUACGUUUCUCCUCGUGGUUUCUUAUUUCAUGUUUUACUUACUCAUGUUUUAUCAACCUGGUAAAGAAUCUUACCAUUUGAGGUUGUCAUUCAUGCCAGGUGAGCUCAAACACCAUUCUUGCAUCAUAAAGGGCAUUUAGGUGUUUUGUUGUCAUGAGAGAGCUAUGGGGAUCCCAAAGAUGAAAACUUGAUCCUACGGAUCUCAAAAGAAGAUCUAGCUAUGAUGUUGCUGUCAAGGGCCCAAAGAAGUAGUGAAUCAGAGGGACAAGAGGGCGAGGAUGCUGUUAACACAUAAAACAAAGAGGAAUAUCAAUGUGUGGAGGAAGCUUCAUCACCGCCGUCCCUCGCUUGCCGUCUUCCAACACCAGGGAUGAUACAUAUAUCUCUACAAAUAUUGUGCAUAUGUUUUAGUGCCUAUACAAGAGUACCCAACUUAUAUAUUGUUAACUGUCGAGAGACUGAUACUGAUAUUAUAUUUAUGAAGUAAAUUCAAUGCAGAUUUUUGUC
Lolium perenne is the source of this 4390-nucleotide non-coding RNA. The record is from RefSeq and is a predicted model, not a curated record. NCBI's taxonomy places the organism in Eukaryota, Viridiplantae, Streptophyta, Magnoliopsida, Poales, Poaceae.